CCCCUCCUGCCUUCUCCCACGCAGCUCCUCGUCUCUUCAAGGCGGAAAAGUGCUUCUAGACUCAGCUCUCACACGGCUCGGGCAGCCGAGAAAGGUGUGUGGAGAUUCACUAUGUCUAUUCUGAUAGCAAAUACUUUCAUUGAGUAAAUUGGAUGCUGUGGACCUCCAGGGCCUCCUGGACCUCUGGGGCCUCUUGGAGUUGCAGGUCCUAGAAGACCUGCAGGAUUCCUGGAAAUUACCAUUUCGACUUUGAUGUAGAGCUUCGCCACUGCGAGGUGAAGGUUUGGCUAAUGACGAACCAAAGCCAAGUUUUGGAAAAGGAUCUGAUCGCCAAAAAAGAGUAUGUUAAUAUCUCUGGCGCUGUAAUUAUGCUUCUGAAAAAGGGGGAUAAGGUGUGGCUAGAAGCAGAAGUUGAAACUGAGGAACCAAAGCAAGCAGAAGUCACUAUUUCUCAGGUUUCCUGAAUUCAUCCCUGAAACUAAGCCUCAUGUGAGUCUGCAGCCUGAAAAGGAAUAAAGCCAGUUUCUAAUUUCUGAAAUCUUGGAUUUCUUUCAUUCCCCAUUCUGAGAAAAAUAAUUGCAUGAAAAAAAAAGGCAUUUCUGCUUUCAUUAAAGCUGGGGCUUGAAAGAUGUUAUCAGAAUCAGGAAAUUAACUUGUUCAAACAACCCUAUCCUCAAGACCAAGGCCAUUCCUAUUUACACCAUCCCGACUAGAGUUGUUGCGGAAAUAUCGGCUUCCCUGUGCACCGAUGCUGAACAGAAAUACGGAGACAGAGAUUUUGGAGGAAAAGAGAGAUGGCUUUAUUUUUCUGCCAAGCAGAAGGGGGGACACAGCUGAAGAGGUGAAGGUUUAUGUUUUGAUUUGAGCACGCUAACGCCUAACGUCUAAAGUCUGUUACCAACUGCUGGAGCCAAAAUGGGAAGCGCUUCCUCUAAGGUUCCACCCCAACCUGGGAACCCUUACGGAAAAUUUUAAAUGACUGGUCGACCAAUAGCUAUGAUCCAGUGACAAAGAAAAAUGGCCUGAAAAUGGGUCUCCUACAAUUAGAUCUUUAUUGCCACAGGAUGGGAAAAAUGGACUGAGGUUCCCUUAUGUUCAGGACUUUAUGCCCCUUUUAUUAUAAUCCUGCUCUAGGUGGAUCCAUAAUCAAAAGCCUGAGGAGUCAGAAAAAACAAAAGAAAAACUCUCCUGACAUUCUAAAUGAUCCUCUUCUAACUUCUCCCAACUCUCAAGGGAAGAGGGGAACGAAGCUUCCCCAACUCCUGCAAGUUCCCUCACUCCUUCAGAUUCUCCUGACCAAACUAAGACCCCACCUCCUCAGAGGGACAAUCCCUGCUGGGACAACAUUUUCUCAGCCAGUCUGCCCCUGUUAUCAGAGCCAAGUUGAGCACUAUCUGGUUUAAAUUUUAGCUGUGAAACCAUGACCACAGAAAGAGAAAGAUGAUUUUUGACAGUAUGGCCACAAUAUUCUUUAGACUCUGGAGAAAAUUGGUUAAAAUAAAACUGUUCUUAAAAUUGCAAAACCAAUUCUUUUUGCAUGUGCAAUUAGAAAAAGCUAGCUUGUUAAAAUACUUUUCUUCAAAAUUCUGACCCUGAGAGAACAAAAAUAUGCCUAGGACAAAGCUUGAAGUUAACUCUUAUCACGUCCUUGAGCUACAAACAUAGCCCGCUCUGCUUGAGACUUCAGCCUUGGGUUAAUUAGUAGAACUUCAAGCC
Molecule: long non-coding RNA, 1716 nt
Organism: Balaenoptera acutorostrata (minke whale)
Lineage: Eukaryota; Metazoa; Chordata; Mammalia; Artiodactyla; Balaenopteridae
Exons: 3
Source: RefSeq, a predicted model, not a curated record